This is a long non-coding RNA of Pieris napi, 497 nucleotides long. RefSeq lists it as uncharacterized. The transcript is spliced from 3 exons. The record is from RefSeq and is a predicted model, not a curated record. NCBI's taxonomy places the organism in Eukaryota, Metazoa, Arthropoda, Insecta, Lepidoptera, Pieridae.
AUUUCGGUGAGUUACGUGUUCGGAAAUGAAACGGAGGUGCCAAAGGAUGUAGAAGCGAUGAAGAAUGACUUUAGUCCCGCUCUGUAUACCAGAUUUGGAUCCACACCACAAGAAUACGACCCGUUCGCUGUAAAAAAAAUUAUAUCGAUACCAUACAAUGGGACAUACAAUGGCACGCGUAAAGGUAUCUUUGACUGGCUCUUUGGAUGGGGAUUUGAUGAAAUGUGGGGCUACGAGCCAUACGCCAAUAUGAACCAUAAGGGUCAAGUGUGCCUGUACAUGCAAGUCACCUAUAAGAACGCAAUAAAAGAAAUAAAGAACUACUACAACCUACGAGCAUUGUACACAGAGAAUAAAGAAUACGAAAUUGGCUACUUAACACACGAAAUAAUAUUCCGAUACCAGAUAAUGCUAGAAUUGUAUAAUUUUAUUGAGAAGCGGUAUUACAAAAAUCUAACGACAAAUGUGGCACCUGUCAGUUUGAUGUUAUACUUCUA